This 1783-nucleotide ribosomal RNA is filed under the name Staphylococcus aureus. Its description in RNAcentral is "partial 23S ribosomal RNA". It matches the Rfam family "Bacterial large subunit ribosomal RNA", at positions 755 to 2538 of the family's 2925-position model. The record is from RNAcentral. Lineage: Bacteria; Bacillati; Bacillota; Bacilli; Caryophanales; Staphylococcaceae.
GGUAACACUGAAUGGAGGACCGAACCGACUUACGUUGAAAAGUGAGCGGAUGAACUGAGGGUAGCGGAGAAAUUCCAAUCGAACCUGGAGAUAGCUGGUUCUCUCCGAAAUAGCUUUAGGGCUAGCCUCAAGUGAUGAUUAUUGGAGGUAGAGCACUGUUUGGACGAGGGGCCCCUCUCGGGUUACCGAAUUCAGACAAACUCCGAAUGCCAAUUAAUUUAACUUGGGAGUCAGAACAUGGGUGAUAAGGUCCGUGUUCGAAAGGGAAACAGCCCAGACCACCAGCUAAGGUCCCAAAAUAUAUGUUAAGUGGAAAAGGAUGUGGCGUUGCCCAGACAACUAGGAUGUUGGCUUAGAAGCAGCCAUCAUUUAAAGAGUGCGUAAUAGCUCACUAGUCGAGUGACACUGCGCCGAAAAUGUACCGGGGCUAAACAUAUUACCGAAGCUGUGGAUUGUCCUUUGGACAAUGGUAGGAGAGCGUUCUAAGGGCGUUGAAGCAUGAUCGUAAGGACAUGUGGAGCGCUUAGAAGUGAGAAUGCCGGUGUGAGUAGCGAAAGACGGGUGAGAAUCCCGUCCACCGAUUGACUAAGGUUUCCAGAGGAAGGCUCGUCCGCUCUGGGUUAGUCGGGUCCUAAGCUGAGGCCGACAGGCGUAGGCGAUGGAUAACAGGUUGAUAUUCCUGUACCACCUAUAAUCGUUUUAAUCGAUGGGGGGACGCAGUAGGAUAGGCGAAGCGUGCGAUUGGAUUGCACGUCUAAGCAGUAAGGCUGAGUAUUAGGCAAAUCCGGUACUCGUUAAGGCUGAGCUGUGAUGGGGAGAAGACAUUGUGUCUUCGAGUCGUUGAUUUCACACUGCCGAGAAAAGCCUCUAGAUAGAAAAUAGGUGCCCGUACCGCAAACCGACACAGGUAGUCAAGAUGAGAAUUCUAAGGUGAGCGAGCGAACUCUCGUUAAGGAACUCGGCAAAAUGACCCCGUAACUUCGGGAGAAGGGGUGCUCUUUAGGGUUAACGCCCAGAAGAGCCGCAGUGAAUAGGCCCAAGCGACUGUUUAUCAAAAACACAGGUCUCUGCUAAACCGUAAGGUGAUGUAUAGGGGCUGACGCCUGCCCGGUGCUGGAAGGUUAAGAGGAGUGGUUAGCUUCUGCGAAGCUACGAAUCGAAGCCCCAGUAAACGGCGGCCGUAACUAUAACGGUCCUAAGGUAGCGAAAUUCCUUGUCGGGUAAGUUCCGACCCGCACGAAAGGCGUAACGAUUUGGGCACUGUCUCAACGAGAGACUCGGUGAAAUCAUAGUACCUGUGAAGAUGCAGGUUACCCGCGACAGGACGGAAAGACCCCGUGGAGCUUUACUGUAGCCUGAUAUUGAAAUUCGGCACAGCUUGUACAGGAUAGGUAGGAGCCUUUGAAACGUGAGCGCUAGCUUACGUGGAGGCGCUGGUGGGAUACUACCCUAGCUGUGUUGGCUUUCUAACCCGCACCACUUAUCGUGGUGGGAGACAGUGUCAGGCGGGCAGUUUGACUGGGGCGGUCGCCUCCUAAAAGGUAACGGAGGCGCUCAAAGGUUCCCUCAGAAUGGUUGGAAAUCAUUCAUAGAGUGUAAAGGCAUAAGGGAGCUUGACUGCGAGACCUACAAGUCGAGCAGGGUCGAAAGACGGACUUAGUGAUCCGGUGGUUCCGCAUGGAAGGGCCAUCGCUCAACGGAUAAAAGCUACCCCGGGGAUAACAGGCUUAUCUCCCCCAAGAGUUCACAUCGACGGGGAGGUUUGGCACCUCGAUGUCGGCUC